CAGCCGCCGCGGUAAUACGAAGGGGGCUAGCGUUGCUCGGAAUUACUGGGCGUAAAGGGAGCGUAGGCGGAUGUUUAAGUCAGAGGUGAAAGCCCAGGGCUCAACCUUGGAACUGCCUUUGAUACUGGACAUCUUGAGUGUGGGAGAGGUAAGCGGAACUCCGAGUGUAGAGGUGAAAUUCGUAGAUAUUCGGAAGAACACCAGUGGCGAAGGCGGCUUACUGGCCCAUUACUGACGCUGAGGCUCGAAAGCGUGGGGAGCAAACAGGAUUAGAUACCCCGGUAGUCCCUGUCUCUUAUAC
RNAcentral lists this ribosomal RNA (301 nucleotides) under uncultured bacterium. RNAcentral describes it as "partial 16S ribosomal RNA". It matches the Rfam family "Bacterial small subunit ribosomal RNA", at positions 509 to 807 of the family's 1533-position model. The record is from RNAcentral.